UCUAUAUAAAUAUAUGUAUUAUCUUUAUUUUUAUUAUUUUUUAUUUAUUCUUAAAUUAAAUCUGAACCGUCCGAUCAAACGAUCGGACAGUCCGAGUUUCAGUCAACUAAUCAACCACAAACAACUUUUUCUCAUCCCAAAGAACCAAAUACGCGUCCUUUCUCCAUCAGAUCCGCGUGAUCCAUCUUCUCAAGAGGGCAAAGUUAUGUCUCAUUCAUCUUUCCAAAAAAAGAACGACAACACUUCCCCUUCUCUUCCCCAUCUCCUUUCUCUCCCCCAAAUCGGAGUGGCUAGCGGCCAAAGCUGCCGCAACCCUACCGCCAGCCUACCAAGAUUUGCCCCUUCUCAGCUAAGUCCAACUCGUGACUCCACGAAACCAAAAAAACAGCCCCAAAUUAGUGAAUAACGGGAAGAUAGGUUCAAAUAGCCAUUAAAAUCUCUGAAAAAGCUGAGGAUAUGGGAAAAAAGGAGGUCCUUUUCGGAAUCAAAUUUCAAACACUCAUCCUUCCCAUGUUUUCUUAAAAUUGCUGUUUCGAAUCCGCAAUUGGGGUCGAGAUUUCAGGCUAUAAAUAACCAAAUCCCGUCCCCAUGAGCAGCAGCAGAGAGAGGUCGAAAAAGGGAAAAAAGGGCUGGAAACAAGCUUCAAAAAUCGGUAUGGAAAAAGAAGAGUGAAGAAAAAAAAUCAAUGAGUAAGUUUUUGGAAACAUAGUAAAGGGGGUUUCAGAAACCAAAAGUUUCUUUUUUUCAAUUUUUGGUACGAAUUCGGAGUUUCGGAUUGAGUUUUGUCAUUGGAACCUUGACGUUAGGCCCGAGUUUUCUGCCCGAAAAAAGUUUCAAUUGAAACUCGUCUUGAUCCAAUUGUCGGGUCAAACGCUACUAGGAUUGCAGAGCUUUGGAGUCCCGCAAAUUAGAAGCCCAAAACUCCUAAACAGAGUCGAGGAUCCCUUAGCCGCUUUUUCCUUUAAUUUAUUUAUAUUAUGCUACACUUUUCUUUAGAAUGAUAACUAACUUUAUUUUAUUAUAAACUUUGUGUAGGAUAACUUGAUUUGGUUGUUGCUCUAUAAUUACUUUGUUAUGUGUCGAUCUUUUAUAAUAGGAUAGCGUUCUCAUGUUGUCUCGAUUAA
This is a long non-coding RNA of Capsicum annuum, 1124 nucleotides long. RefSeq lists it as uncharacterized. The record is from RefSeq and is a predicted model, not a curated record. The transcript is spliced from 2 exons. NCBI's taxonomy places the organism in Eukaryota, Viridiplantae, Streptophyta, Magnoliopsida, Solanales, Solanaceae.